GAUGAACGCUGGCGGCGUGCUUAACACAUGCAAGUCGAACGGUGAAGGCGGAGCUUGCUCUGCUGGAUCAGUGGCGAACGGGUGAGUAACACGUGAGCAAUCCGCCCCUGACUCUGGGAUAAGCGCUGGAAACGGCGUCUAAUACUGGAUACGAGCUGCGAAGGCAUCUUCAGCAGCUGGAAAGAAUUUCGGUCAGGGAUGAGCUCGCGGCCUAUCAGCUUGUUGGUGAGGUAAUGGCUCACCAAGGCGUCGACGGGUAGCCGGCCUGAGAGGGUGACCGGCCACACUGGGACUGAGACACGGCCCAGACUCCUACGGGAGGCAGCAGUGGGGAAUAUUGCACAAUGGGCGAAAGCCUGAUGCAGCAACGCCGCGUGAGGGACGACGGCCUUCGGGUUGUAAACCUCUUUUAGCAGGGAAGAAGCGAAAGUGACGGUACCUGCAGAAAAAGCGCCGGCUAACUACGUG
RNAcentral lists this ribosomal RNA (468 nucleotides) under uncultured bacterium. RNAcentral's name for it is "partial 16S ribosomal RNA". It matches the Rfam family "Bacterial small subunit ribosomal RNA", at positions 28 to 507 of the family's 1533-position model. The record is from RNAcentral.